Vicia faba (fava bean) is the source of this 321-nucleotide non-coding RNA. Lineage: Eukaryota; Viridiplantae; Streptophyta; Magnoliopsida; Fabales; Fabaceae. The record is from the annotation of a GenBank genome assembly.
AUGCCUUAUAAACUUCAUGCCUCAAACUUGCUGUCCAAAUUUGCCUUGAUCCAAAUCCUUGCACAAUUUUGCACCAAAACUCUUAUGUCCUUAUCCAAGUUUUGCUGCACAAUAGUCAUGCUGCUGCCCCUGCUGCAAUGCUGUCAAAAGACUGCACAUUUGCUGUCACAAAUAGUCCAAACAAUAAGUUCCAAAACCUGCAUGAUACUACAACAACAACUGUCCAAGAAUUACACUAACUUAGCAAAGCAAAAACCUGCGCUAGAAAGCAUUACAACAGAGCACUCUAACUAUUCAAAUGGAUCAAAAUCUCCCCUCUAA